This 468-nucleotide ribosomal RNA is filed under the name uncultured bacterium. RNAcentral's name for it is "partial 16S ribosomal RNA". It matches the Rfam family "Bacterial small subunit ribosomal RNA", at positions 28 to 507 of the family's 1533-position model. The record is from RNAcentral.
GACGAACGCUGGCGGCGUGCUUAACACAUGCAAGUCGAACGGAAAGGCCCUGCUUUUGUGGGGUGCUCGAGUGGCAAACGGGUGAGUAACACGUGAGUAACCUGCCCUUGACUUUGGGAUAACUUCAGGAAACUGGGGCUAAUACCGGAUAGGAGCUCCUGCUGCAUGGUGGGGGUUGGAAAGUUUCGGCGGUUGGGGAUGGACUCGCGGCUUAUCAGCUUGUUGGUGGGGUAGUGGCUUACCAAGGCUUUGACGGGUAGCCGGCCUGAGAGGGUGACCGGCCACAUUGGGACUGAGAUACGGCCCAGACUCCUACGGGAGGCAGCAGUGGGGAAUAUUGCACGAUGGGCGGAAGCCUGAUGCAGCAACGCCGCGUGCGGGAUGACGGCCUUCGGGUUGUAAACCGCUUUCGCCUGUGACGAAGCGUGAGUGACGGUAAUGGGUAAAGAAGCACCGGCUAACUACGUG